UAAAUGAACUUAAAUUCAACUUAAAAUAUUUUAACAAUUAAAGUAAAAAAUAGUAUUUUAAAGUUAAUUAAUAGAGGUUCAGCUCUAUUAAUAAAGGAUACAACCUAAAACAAUAAAUAAAGAUUAUAAUAAUUAAAGAAAUUAACUAUGUGGGCCUAAAAGCAGCAAUCAAAUAAAAAGCGUCAAAGCUUAAUUUAAUAAAUCUUAUUAUAACAAUAAAGUAUCUUAAUUUAUUAAAACUAUUAAGUCAAUCUAUAAAAAUAGAUGUGAUUAUUCUAGAAUGAGUAAUAAGAAAAGUAUUCUCUUAGUGCAAGUGUAGAUCAGAACGAAUAUUUCACUGAUAUUUAACGAACCUUUAGAAGGAAAAAUAAUAUUUUACAAGAGAAACUUAUUUAACCUAUCGUUAACCCAACACAGAAGCACAUUAGAAAGAUUAAAAAUAUAGGAAGGAACUCGGCAAACAUGAACUUCGCCUGUUUACCAAAAACAUCGCCUCUUGCAAUUAAAGUAUAAGAGGUCCUGCCUGCCCAGUGACACUAAGUUUAACGGCCGCGGUAUUAUGACCGUGCAAAGGUAGCGUAAUCACUUGUCUUUUAAAUAAAGACCAGUAUGAAUGGCAAGACGAAAGUUCAACUGUCUCCCUAAAUUAAUCAAUGAAAUUGAUUUUUUCGUGCAGAAAGCGGAAAUAUAAUUAUAAGACGAGAAGACCCUAUGGAGCUUUAAACAUAUGAUCAUUGCGUAACAUAACCCAAAAUGAAAUAUUUAAUAAAACAUUAUGAUCAAAAUUUUAGGUUGGGGCGACCACGGAGAAAAACAAAACCUCCGAGAUGAAGAGAAUAUCUUAAUUCAAGAAUCACAAUUCUAAAAAAUAAAAUAUUUAACAUAAUUGAUCCAAUAUAUUGAUCAACGAACCAAGUUACCCUAGGGAUAACAGCGCAAUCCUCUCCAAGAGUCCCUAUCGACGAGCGGGUUUACGACCUCGAUGUUGGAUCAGGACACCCCAAUGGUGCAGCCGCUAUUAAAGGUUCGUUUGUUCUACGAUUAAUGU
This 1048-nucleotide ribosomal RNA is filed under the name Hynobius fossigenus. Its description in RNAcentral is "partial 16S ribosomal RNA". It matches the Rfam family "Bacterial large subunit ribosomal RNA", at positions 920 to 2594 of the family's 2925-position model. Lineage: Eukaryota; Metazoa; Chordata; Amphibia; Caudata; Hynobiidae. The record is from RNAcentral.